AAAAAAAAAUCAAAUUAAAUUCUUAUAAGGUACUCUCUCCGUUCCCCGUUUUAGAAUCCCUCUGAAUACGAGAGAAAUUUGAAGGUAAAGUUAAUUUUAUUUUUAACUCAAAAUUUUUAUUCAAAAAUGAGAGGAUUUAAAAGGAUGGAAAAUGAUGAAAAAAUUAAAUAUUUUAUAUUAUUACUUAAAGUAAUUUUUUAAAAUAAAUCAUUUAUUUAUUACAUUAAUAUGUAAGAAUAAUAUAGUAAUAUUAUAAUUUAAUUUUUUUCCUUCUUUUCUCUUGUUCUAAACUCAAAAAAAAUAAUUAAAAUUUUAUCCAUUCCCUUCCUUUUACAAGAAAAAAUUAUAAUACAUUUCCAUUUAACAAGUAACAAUAAAUAUAUACAUAUUGUUACUCUUUUUGUGGGGGUAAACAUGAUAAAAAAUUAAAAAAAAUAAGAAUUUAUAGCCCAUCAAAAAUAUCUAGCAAGCCCAAAUUUGAUAGCUUUAUAAAAGGAGUAUUUCCUUCCAUCUUAUCUUUCUAAUCUUCUCACUGACAGUCCCUUCUCGACUCGACUCCUUCCCUCUCUUGUGAAUUGGUUCAGCUGCAGAGAAAGCCGAACUCAAAGGUACGGCUAGUAUACAUCUUCUUCACUAUGCUCCUCCUGCUAGUAAAGGUUUUCACGUGUUACAUAUAGACCUUAACGAACCUCCAAAUUUACAGAAUUAUCUGAGUCUCAAAAAUACAAUCUACAUGUUUGCUUGCCAUUGAAAAAAAUUGGUGUUUUUGAGUAUCUGUAGCUCAAUAGCAAUUGGGUUUUUUUGAUUGAGAGUAAUCUCAUUAUUCUACUAUUUCAAUUUUUUAACUUUUAUUGUCCUGAAAUCAUGAAUGGAUCAGUCUAUUUUAUUUUUAUUUUUUUCCUUUUCGGAUAGAAUUGUCUAGGACAAUUUUGAAUUGGAUCAAGACUUAAGCCAAAGACUAUCAAAUAUAGCCACUAGAAAGCUCGAAUCAAUUUUAUCUGAUAUUAGUAAUAUGCUAUUUUAAAGAAAUGUUUGUAAUAUAUUCUUAGCAAUUAGGAUAUUAUUUUUACUUCCAGCUGAAUUCAUAAGACUAUUAUUUUGGUUUGAGACCCUGUUGUCUUCCUAAUUAAACAUUAAAUUGUUAGGUUAAAAAAGGAAAAAUUGGAUUUUUCAAUUCAGCCUAUAAUUCAGGUGGUUCUUUUUCAAUUGCCUUUGAAUAGGAUAUUUGUAGAGGGUGUUGUAAAUUAGUAGUAUCUGAAAAUAUUCUUUAAUUUUUUUUUAAUAAAAUGUUUGGAAGUAAAAGAGAAGUAUAUUUAUAAUUUCACGAGAAUAUUAAAAGGGAUUUGAACCCCAAAAUCCAUCCUCACAGUAACCAUGUAAAUGGCAUUUCUCAUGACCACCUAAAAUUGAGGAGUACAAACCAAAAAAGGAACAGAUCCAAACAAAAAUUAUGGUUCACACUUCUCUCUUCCCUUCUUGCACACUCACUCGUAUUCUAUUUACUUUCUCAAGCAUGAAGAAAGUUCUGGAGUUUGCAUACCAUCAAGGACAGAUUAAAACUGAAAUUGAACACUAGUGCAGAUAAAUUGCAUAUAUUUGCAUGUACAGUAAAACUCAUAGUUUGGUGUGAAGCAAUGUCAGUCCCCUUGCAUCCCCACACUUUUUGUAUAUACGUAUAACACUACGAUUUAGGAAUGAUCUUCUUGUGCAAUAUGAGAUACUGAUUUGGAUUGUAUAGAUACACACACUUAUAUUGUAAUAACUUGAAUUUUCAAAUUAAUAUUAAAGUAAAAUUUUAGUAAGUAGAAUUUUUAUUUUAAUAAUAUUUAUGGUACAUGGGUGUAUAUGCGCACUGUGGUGUGAAUACCUGUGAUUGAGUAAAUAUAUAUAAGUACUGUGUAUGAGUAAAUUAAUCAAAAAUAAUUUGAAUAUCGGAAGCAAAUAAAAAGUUGAGUAUGUAAAAUUUAUAGUAUGCAUUAAAUGAAGAAUAUCAAAUAAAUUUGAUAAUAGUGGAUUAUUUUAUGUAUGAGAAAAAUAUCAUGGAGCAUAAGUCAUGAUACAUAUUUUUUUAGUGUAAAUUAGAUUUGUAAAUUAUGAUAAAUUAUAUAUAUAUUGGGCUAAGAAUGCUUAGCUUAAGUGGAGUUUUUAAAAAAAACAAACAAACACAGGAGGUGGCACAAUAGAAAGCUGUAUAUUUAAUAAGGUAGUACUUAGUAAGCUAGGCUAUCAGUUGGAGUGCUAGGGAGUUAAGCAGGAGCUGGGAAAAGGAAAAGUGAGUGAUAGACACGAUAAGUGAAGCAGGAGCUGUCCUCGCCUGGAAAAAAAUUAGACUUACACUCAACUAUGCUAUGGGACAACAAAACAAGGAAGUUUUAGUGAGAAUCACGGUUUAGAGGCUGUAAGAAGGAAAAAAAAAGACUAAACCAACUUCUCUUCUCUUCUUCCAUCCGAUAAUCACUCUCUUUAUCUUCUCCUCACUGUCAUCCUUCCCCUGCACAAUCAAGCUUGCCGAGGCUCAUCCUGCCCAGUUUGGGUUGCCAAGCCUAAGACUCUUAUUUCAGUUCCAGUGUUAUCAAGCAAAGGUAAUGUAUAUGUGUUUUAUGUAUAUAUACAAACAUUUGUUUGUUAAAGUGAACUCUGUUAAUUAUGCGAAUUGAGUGAUUGAUUUAACUGUAAAUAAGUGUGAUUGCAAAGUUUGGAAAAGGAAAUCUUUAUGUGAUAUAUCAGUAAUCUAUGAAGUAAAAGUUUAAAAAAAAGAAGAGAAACUGUUAGUUCACUAAUUGCUUAACUAUUCGUGCUUUGUCUGUGUUUGGACUAAAUUUAGGCAUAAAGAGAUAGGUUGGGCUGUGGAGUAAUAAGGAUGUUAAUAUGGGUUUAUGUUGUAAACCAAUAGCUGCGAAAUUAGUAACUUAGCACUGUGCCUACCAACUGUUCGAUAAAAGUUCUAAAAAAACUUUUUGGUUAAAAAACUGAAUAUUAGAACAAAGUAAAGCUUGGGCUUGAUUUGUUUAUCAUACGUGAUGUUAAUUAGGAGGUUUGAAGGUACCAGAUUAGAGUGAAAAGCAAUUUCAAGCUAAAACGAAAGUAAAAGAGAAAAAAAACUUAGUGUGGCUAGCCAUAUCUGUGUAUCAAAUCUGAAAUGAAAAUGUUAUAACCUCUAAAACGCAUUCUCAUAUGGUAUGUAUAAAAUACUUAAAGUUUGUUUUAAUUUAGUAGAUGAGUUAAAAGUUAUAAGGCCGCAAAUUAGGCAUGUUGGAGCAGGGCUGCUGCCUAUGGCAGCAGCAGUGGUGAUGCUUGGCAAGGGCUGGGGCCUCCCUUGGGCGCUCAAUCAACACACUUGAAUUAUAAAGGGUGGAUAUAUCAUCUAUUUAGUAGCUAAAGUUCAAUGACCAGGCAUGGUGGUUAAGUUUUUGGUGAAGUGGCGUAAUAGGCCUCCGGAUGAUAGUACAUGGCUUAGUACUGAGGAGUUCUGUCGUCUUGAUUCAUACCUUUUUGAGAGAUACGAGACUUUCACUUCGUCAGAGACUUCAUUUUUGUAGCAGAGGAUAGGAAUCGAUCCAUGAGACAUUGUCGUCGUGGAUGAUUCGCUAUUUAGUUAUUUAUUUAUCAGUGCGACACUGUCUAUUUAUUUAUAAGUUAUUUAUUUAGAGACCCAAUUAUUAAUGGGUUUAGGAUUAUUAUAGUUUUUCUUAUAUUAUAAAUAUGUAAGUCAUGACAUAUUAUUGGACACACUUUGAUAUUGAAAUUAUCCUAAUUAUUGGUUGCAAUCAAUACUUUUUUUCCUUACUGUGGUUGGAAAACCCUAGGAGUAGUGGUUCUCUUGUGGUUGGAUCACCCUAGUUCAUUGAUUUACCACUUCCAAUUAAUUAUUUGCUCAUCAAUUUAUGUCCUACAUCAGUGAUUACAGAGUGAUUUCAUAGACUUGGAAUGGCAGAAGUAAGCCUUGGUGUUCUUAUAAAUAUUGUGGAUGAGGAAUGGAUGAGAGACACUCUGCCUGAUGAUGGUACUAAUGUUUCUUACUUAUUCUCAUGUUUACAUCGCACUUGCAUUCACAUAGUAACUUUCGUCGUCACUUCUGGCACACUUUCCAUGUUAUUUUUAUUUUCCUUUGCAGAUCUUCCGCUGCCGCCUGUACUUGUUCCUCGAACUGAGGAAAAUGAAGAUUCAAGUAUGUCUUCCAUUGCUUCACCAUUAAAAAACUUCCUUUUAAACAUACCAUUUUAGAAUGUUUACGGUUUUUCUGUUUCGAUUCCUAUGCUAUGUUGCUUUAUUAUUAAACUGUGUAUGUUGUUACUAGUCAAAUUAAUAAAUUGAAGGUUCAUCGAUGUUUUGAUAUGAGUGUGAAAGGUAUAGGAUUGUUAGGGUAGAUUCUGAUAAUUAUUUAGUAACAAAAAGUGUGUUUGACCUUUGGUUAAUCAUAUUGAGUUGACUCUGUCUAGAUCAAUGCAUUCAACUGCAGAAAUACUGAAGCCAUAUACAAGAUUUUUAAGUCAUGGUCUAUACAACAUAUGAUUGCUCUUGAGUUUAGUAGGCAUAUUAUUUAUUGCCAUCUGCAUGAUGACAUCAUACUCUGUUUGGGCAGAUUAGGCCUGCUACAUUUUAUUAAUGUUAUUUAAUAGACCCUUUCUUUUGUCGUUUUUUCGAGAGAACAAGUGAAAGAAAUUCACACACUCGUGUGACAUCAUACUCUGUGUGUUUCGGCAGAAUAGUCCUGCUACAUUUUAUUAAUGUUUUAUUUAACGGUCCUUUUUUUUUUGUUCUUUUUGAGGGAACAUGUGAAAUAAAUUCAUGAACACUCGUAUUUAUAUACCGUUAUUUCCGCAUCUUUACACUCAAUUCGAGUAAACUCCACACCUUUCUCCCUACUUUUCUUGAAUGAGUAAGAUUUCUAUGUUAAAGACAGGGACGGAGCCACAUGUAUAUUGGAGGGGGCCACCCCCCCCAAAGGUUUGAAAUUUUUGUAAGACUCACCCCCAAAGUUUGAAAAUUUUAUAAAACUCACUUGUACAUUUGGUUUGGUUUGAAAUUUUGUAAGGCUACGGUCCCCUCAAGUUCUGACGAAGCUUUGAUAUGUUUUAAAAGACUUUUUUUGCUAUAUUUUAUUAUCUUUGUCAAAGCAAAUUCUAUUAUCAUAUUAUUUUUGUUUUAGUAAAAAUAUGUUUUGUAAUAGUGAAAUUUUACUUUUUAGUGAUGAAUAUAUUUUAUGCUGUUAAAAUUUUUACUCCGUCCCUGGUUAAAGAUAAAAGCCAAUGUGAUAGACAUUCGUAUCCAACUGUGGUGGACAGUGGAGGUGCCAAAAUAAUUUUAGAAGUACAAAUAAUUUAUACUUGUGUUUUGCUUUUGACCUUCUGUUGCUGUUAUUGAUUUCAAUGAAACAGUUGGCUGUGCUACACUCAAUCUUGUUUAUGGCUGCGUCACUAUAAACUGCUUUCUUAUUGACUUCACCUUUGUUCGUCAAGACUUUUACUGCUCUUGUAUUAGCUAAUGUGUAUUUAUUAUGCUCAUCGGAUCAGGAGACUCCACAAGUUGAAGGGGAUGCUUGGCAUGAUCUCGCAUUAGGAACUCAGUAAGGGACCAUUUUCAGUCGGCAGCAUUUCCUCUCAGAUAAUACCAACCUAGCUUUUGUAGACAAUUAAAUCGACAAGGCAUUGCAUAUAGGCAGAUAAGUAUCUUAUUCACAGCCCUAUCAAUGUACGUAUAUCCAACAAAGCAACUUUGGACAUCAUAUUGGUAUAAUAUGAAAAUCAAAUAUUCCCGGAUUUGUCAUGCAUUACUUGCAAUGUGUCUAUAACUUCCAGUUGCCAGAUGUAUGUAGAGAUUUGUCCAGAAAUGUUGCAGUUUCUCAGUAGCCUGAAUUUAGGAUGAAGUAUGUCAAAAUAAUUAAUGAAGGAUCAGAUUCAUAAACCUUUAUGCCAAUAGACAUAUUACACAAUCAUUCACCAUACAAUUUCUUUAUGCCUGUGCUGCUGCUUGCUUAAGUUAGGAAAUCCCUGAAUAGAGACAUAUUACACAAUCAUUCACCAUACUAACGGGGUAUUUGUUUAGAGCUUAUUGGGUCUGAAUGAGUUAAGGGGUGUUUGUUUAGAGCUUAUUGGGUCUGAAUGAGUCAACAACUGUUUGUUUAUAAAUUCUGAAAUUUGAAUGGGACUGAAUAGAAUUGACCUAUUCUAUCAAAAAAUUGUGGCUGGCUCGCUCGGUUAAUAGGCUGAAUGGAAUAUUUACUUAAAUACCCUCGCAUAAUAGAAUAAAUUACUUAAAUAUCUGCUACUUUCUUUAAUCUUCAUGGGCAUUUUGUUCUGUUCUCAAAAUCGCCACAACGGG
RNAcentral lists this long non-coding RNA (6321 nucleotides) under Panax ginseng (ginseng). RNAcentral describes it as "long non-coding RNA (PGIN_LNC007788)". Lineage: Eukaryota; Viridiplantae; Streptophyta; Magnoliopsida; Apiales; Araliaceae. The record is from RNAcentral.